GCAUGGCUGGCUCAGUUAGUAGAGCAUGAGACUCUUGAUCUUAGGGCUAUGAGUUCAAGCCUGAUGUUGGGUG
RNAcentral lists this transfer RNA (73 nucleotides) under Ailuropoda melanoleuca (giant panda). It matches the Rfam family "tRNA". Rfam says of the family: Transfer RNA (tRNA) molecules are approximately 80 nucleotides in length. Their secondary structure includes four short double-helical elements and three loops (D, anti-codon, and T loops). Further hydrogen bonds mediate the characteristic L-shaped molecular structure. tRNAs have two regions of fundamental functional importance: the anti-codon, which is responsible for specific mRNA codon recognition, and the 3' end, to which the tRNAs corresponding amino acid is attached (by aminoacyl-tRNA synthetases). tRNAs cope with the degeneracy of the genetic code in two manners: having more than one tRNA (with a specific anti-codon) for a particular amino acid; and 'wobble' base-pairing, i.e. permitting non-standard base-pairing at the 3rd anti-codon position. The record is from Rfam by way of RNAcentral. Lineage: Eukaryota; Metazoa; Chordata; Mammalia; Carnivora; Ursidae.